CUGUCGGGACCCCAGCCCUGCCCAGACAGGAUGGGGAGCUCUUGGGGCCGACCCGCCCUGUGACUUCCUAGAGCCCAGCGCCUGUCCUCCUGCGCCAUUCCUGUGGUCACGAGGGGAGGCUCCGAGGACACUGCCGCCACCGUCAACCAGGCCCUCACACCUGGCCCCCAAGCACCACACGUCUCAGGGCUGGGCUGGGCGCUGGGGUCAGGGUUCCCAUGGCAACACCACCCCAGAGCUCUGCACCCUGCCGUCCCUCACUCCUCCGCCAGCAGGGGUGGUGGACCUCCAGGUGGAACCCAACUCCUCUGCAGCCUGGCCCCUGCCUGGAUCCGAGCUUGGAGUCUGAGGGACGGACGCUGCUGCAGAGGGAGGUGACUGAGUGCUGCCUCAUUGCAGGCGGGAGCAGGGCCAGCCCAGCCCGUGGUGUGCAGAGGGGCUGGGGUCCUGCCCACCCCCACAGCCCGGGGCCCCCUGGCCCCCUGCUGCCCAGGCCUCCAGGCUGAGUCAUCCUUUCCCUGGCUGUGAAGACAAAGACUUCCAGAUCCAACUACACUGAUGAAAAUUUGAGCCUCCGUUUACCCAAUUUAAAUUUGGAAGGGUCAUGUGAGGAUUAGCUUUUUUUCUGUUCUGGGAAUUGAACCCAGGGUCUUUUGCAGUAAACUACAUCUUCAGCGCCUUCUUACUUGUUGGGACGGGAUCUUGCUAACUUGCCAUCCUCCUGCUUCAGCCUCUGGGGUAGCUGGAUUCCAGGCAUGCACGCCUGCCUCCAGGGUUCACCCUCUCGGGCUGGGCCUCUCUAGAGAAGUACGGUUGAAGAACCAGCAAGAUUUGUAGGUCUGUUUGGGCACCGUGUUCCCGGGGGGCUCAGGACAGCGAGGCGGCUUCCAGGCAGGCAGAGUUUGGGCUUUAUUCUCAGGCCAGCGGGGCAGUUAAACAAUUUUAGCAGGAGAGAGAUCCUGGGUGCCCUGCUGAUGGCGCGGCAUGCAGAAAAUGGCAGUGGACAGGUUCUCACCGAGCGUCCCGCGUAGGAGGGAGGGACCCCUGCUGGGAGGCCGAAAAGCCCCGCUCAGGAGGCACAGCUGCUCCCGCCCCAGGAAACAGCCCAGAGAGCUCAGCCAAGGGCCCAGUGUCAACACCUUCAACUCAGGAAGGCGUCACAGAUCACUGAGGACAGGCGGGAGCCCAAGGGGACAUUUGCUCAUCAAGUACUUAGUGAGGUGGGGCACUCGGGAGGCUGAGGCCGGAGAAUCAUUGCAAGUCCAAGGCCUGCCUCGGCUACACAGUGAGUCCAGGAGCAGCCUGGAGUAGAUAGUAAGACUCUGUCAUGAAAAAACCAAAAAUCCUUGCUGGUCAUAGUGACACAGGCUUGUGAUUCCAGCACUCGGGAGGCUGAAGCAGGAGGAUGGCUGUGAGUUUGAGGCCAGCCUGGAAUACAUAGCGAGACCCUGUCUCAAAAAACAACAAAAAACAACCCCCAAAUAUUUAGUGAGCAGGAGGGACGGUCUCUGCUUUCACGGGGGUGCACCCUGAGGGGGUGAGCUACAGCUCCAAGGGGCAGACUCGGUCCAGGAGGGCCUGGCUGGACAUUUCUGGAGCAGAGUGGGAGUGGGCAGGCUGCCGCACAGGUCAGGACAGGGCGAGGAUGGCUCAGCUCAGCCAGGGCAAGAGACCAGUUUCCACACAGACACCUCCGGGCGCACGGGGAGGACCGGAGAAUUCCCAUGCCCGAGACAGCAGGCUGGGGUGGCGAGGGACUUCCGCUCCAGGAAAGGACAUCCUUAGCUUCCCUCGGGAGCUGGAGCGCCCAACACACCAGCAGGGCUGGAGCCCGAGGCAGGGGUCCCCACCUAGGAGCCUGAUGCCUCCCUGGGCAACACAGGAGGAUCCAGUCUAGGAAGGAAGGAAGGGAGAGGGCAGGAGGAGAAAGGGAAAGAAAAGAAAGGAGAAAACAAAAUACCCUAGGAAGAGAGGCUUCGAGUCUGUGGCUGUAUGGCCCUCGGUGCCCUCCAAAGCGUUGGAGCCAGGUGCUUGGCCCCGAGGGGGACCUGGGGCCCGUCCCGUCCCGGAGGAGGUGAGGCUGGGGAACCAACAGACAGUGGCACCCAGCGGCGCAGUUGGAGAUGGAAAAGGGUGAAGGAGACUCGGGCCUACGGGGUCCUGGAAAGUCUCCCCGUUUUCCAGUGCUGUGGAUUGAAGUCAGAGCCUUAGUGCUCAGCAACAGGCCAGCUCAUUUUUUAUUUUGAGACAGGGUGUAAAUUGCCCAGGCUGGCCUUGAACUUGGAAUCCUCCUGCCUCAGCCUCCCAAGUGCUGGGAUUACAGGCUCAUUGUUUAUCACACAUCUUAGUUCUUUUCUUGUCCCCUUUCUGUCCUCCCUCAAUCUCUCUCUUUUUUUUUUUGGUUCUCUUUCUGGCCACUGGAGGGCUGAGUUCCUUUGUCUCGGCCCUGGUAUUAUGUUUCUUAUCAUCUUGGCCCUUCUGAGGCUGAAAUCAUAGUCCAACAAUGGGCUCUGAUUCUUAUACCUGGAUUUUAACUGUAAAAUUCACCUUUUCCAUCACAUUGCCUAUUGUUAUGUCUGGCACCUCUAGUGCAUGAUGGUCAG
Heterocephalus glaber (naked mole-rat) is the source of this 2603-nucleotide long non-coding RNA. The record is from Ensembl. Lineage: Eukaryota; Metazoa; Chordata; Mammalia; Rodentia; Bathyergidae.